GCAAGUCGAGCGAGAAAUCACUUCGGUGAGAGUACAGCGGCGGACGGGUGAGUAACGCGUAGGAAUCUACCCGGUAGUGGGGGACAACAUGGUGAAAACCAUGCUAAUACCGCAUACGCCCUAUGGGGGAAAGCGGGGGACCUUCGGGCCUCGUGCUAUUAGAUGAGCCUGCGUUGGAUUAGCUAGUUGGUGGGGUAAAGGCCUACCAAGGCGACGAUCCAUAGCUGGUCUGAGAGGAUGAUC
This 243-nucleotide ribosomal RNA is filed under the name uncultured bacterium. Its description in RNAcentral is "partial 16S ribosomal RNA". It matches the Rfam family "Bacterial small subunit ribosomal RNA", at positions 57 to 305 of the family's 1533-position model. The record is from RNAcentral.